AUAUAUCGGGGCACUGCUUUUUCUUCAUGUUUUGUGAUUAGUUGUGUUGUGGGUUGUUUAGGGUCUAAAGAUGGGAUUAAUUAUGUUGUGCAUCAUGCUUUCUCCUUUUUGAGUGCAAAACGGAGGAAGCAAAGAGCUUCCCCCCCGCAAUCCUUUAUUAAGAGUAAAAUAGAAAAACUGUGCAUCAUGCUUUCAACGAC
This 200-nucleotide long non-coding RNA is filed under the name Elaeis guineensis (African oil palm). RNAcentral's name for it is "long non-coding RNA (EGUI_LNC006241)". Lineage: Eukaryota; Viridiplantae; Streptophyta; Magnoliopsida; Arecales; Arecaceae. The record is from RNAcentral.